Molecule: ribosomal RNA, 1006 nt
Filed under: uncultured archaeon
Lineage: Archaea
Description: bacterial SSU rRNA
Rfam family: Archaeal small subunit ribosomal RNA
Source: RNAcentral
UAAGCCAUGCAAGUCAUAUGUUCCUCGUGAACAUGGCAUACUGCUCAGUAACACGUGGAUAACCUGCCCUUGGGUCUGGGAUAACCCCGGGAAACUGGGGAUAAUACCGGAUGACGCAUAUGUGCUGGAAUGCUUUAUGCGUAAAACGGAUUCGUCCGCCCAAGGAUGGGUCUGCGGCCUAUCAGGUAGUAGUGGGUGUAAUGUACCUACUAGCCAACAACGGGUACGGGUUGUGAGAGCAAGAGCCCGGAGAUGGAUUCUGAGACAUGAAUCCAGGCCCUACGGGGCGCAGCAGGCGCGAAAACUUUACAAUGCGGGCAACCGUGAUAAGGGAACCUCGAGUGCCUGUAAAUGCAGGCUGUUCAGAUGCCUAAAACACAUCUGGAGAAAGGGCCGGGCAAGACCGGUGCCAGCCGCCGCGGUAAUACCGGCGGCUCGAGUGGUGGCCACUUUUAUUGGGCUUAAAGCGUUCGUAGCUGGGUUGUUAAGUCUCUUGGGAAAUCUGGCGGCUUAACCGUCAGGCGUCUAAGGGAUACUGGCAAUCUUGGAACCGGGAGGGGUGAGGGGUACUUCGGGGGUAGGAGUGAAAUCCUGUAAUCCUCGAGGGACCACCUGUGGCGAAGGCGCCUCACCAGAACGGCUUCGACAGUGAGGGACGAAAGCUGGGGGAGCAAACCGGAUUAGAUACCCGGGUAGUCCCAGCCGUAAACUAUGCGCGUUAGGUGUAUCGGUGACCACGAGUUACCGAGGUGCCGAAGGGAAACCGUGAAACGUGCCGCCUGGGAAGUACGGUCGCAAGGCUGAAACUUAAAGGAAUUGGCGGGGGAGCACCACAACAGGUGGAGCCUGCGGUUUAAUUGGACUCAACGCCGGGAAGCUCACCGGAUAGGACAGCAGAAUGAUUGCCGGGCUGAAGACCCUGCAUGACUAGCUGAGAGGAGGUGCAUGGCCGUCGUCAGUUCGUACUGUGAAGCAUCCUGUUAAGUCAGGCAACGAGCGAGACCCA